Molecule: long non-coding RNA, 28306 nt
Filed under: Hordeum vulgare
Lineage: Eukaryota; Viridiplantae; Streptophyta; Magnoliopsida; Poales; Poaceae
Description: long non-coding RNA (HVUL_LNC004293)
Source: RNAcentral
CCCCAACCUGCAUCCCUGACCUGGUAAAAGUGUUGCGUUUUCAGUUUUUGUUAUAUUCGCGAGCAGGUACGAUACAUCUAGCGCAACUCCUCUGUUUUAACACUAGUCCUUUGAUUGAUGAACAAUUAGGUUUGGGAUCGAAUCAUACCAGCCCCUAUAUUGUUUUCGCUAGGCUGGGCUUUGUUUCUGUUGUUUGCGUUGGAUCGGUUGUUCUUUUAUGAUAACUCUCCCAAUUGUUCACACAAUGCUUUGUUAUCUGAGAGGCAGCGCUGCUCAGAUCCAACCAUGGGGUCUUGGGUUCGAUCCCAGCUCACCCCAUUAUUUUGGUUCUUUCGUUUUUUUCUUCCUACUCUAGUGAUGUUACAAUCAGAUCUGAUGUAAUUCCACGUACCCCAUAUUCAUCCACCGGCAUAUGGGAACCCAGUAACCGGGAUCAUACCAUCAUUCUUUGGCAUGACACACUCACACUCACAAUUCGUUGGCAUCGGUAUCUCAUCGAGUUAUCACAACCGAAACGUUGCCCUAGCAUCGUUUCCGUUUUGCUUCCAUUGUUCCCUUUCCUUCGCCAUGGCGCCACAUGCUUCAUAUCCUUCUUGCCAGUGUUUCCAUAAAAUUGCAUGCAUGUUGCAUUCAUGGCAAAAUAUCUUGUGUUGCACGUAUCUGUUAACCAUAGCUCUGAUCAAAUGAGCUAUAUGUAUAAACCGACUAGAAUGAUGUGUAGAAUCACAUGCUUCACAUUUUUCCAUGCUUAAACAACAUUUAGUAUUUCCGUGUAUAUAAACGGGAGUGAACUAAAUACUUCAAAUGUGGAGUUUCGUGAAUAUCCAACUCGUUGCAUACCGAGCUUCAUUUAAUCAGUAGUAAUAAAUUAUGGUGCUUUUUCGGGCAUGCAUAACUAAACCGAUCAUGCAUCAUAUGUGUUGUGCAUCAUAUCAUGCAUUUGUUGUGGUGUUAUUGUGUGUUGAUUGUUGUUUCGGACUAUUUCUUCUCGAUAGAGUUCCAAACCUCUUAGGAGUGAGAGGAUCCGUUCGACUACAUUGGUUCGUCUGCUUCACGAAUUCGUUCUCAUUUCAAACGGGAUCACAUGCAAGAUAACCAUUUCCCUAGAUACCAUUACUAUCAACCAUGCUAGUUGUCUCAUUUCUUUUGCUAUGUCGCGUUGCCUACCACUAAAAUGUCAUCCUCUAAACAUUAGCAUGAAAACUUUUAACCUUUCUAAAACGUAGUAAACCAUUGUUUGGCUAUGUUACCGAUUGCUCAACCAUUGGAUAGAGUUGCUAGUUGCAGGUGCAGUUGCUUCCAUGUGACCACAUGGGUUUCUUGUUAUAUCAUCAUAUUUUUGCUAAAUAAUUUAAUGCACCUAUAUACUUGGUAAAAGGUGGAAGGCUCGGACUUUCUAGCCUGAUGUUUUGUUCCAUCUUUGCCGCCCUAGUUUCGUCUACCGGUCUUAUAUUCCAUAAUUGAGCGCUCCUAACACGGUCUAGUUUGUUAUGGGGACCCCUUGAUAAUUCGUUUUAGAUUAAGACUGAUCUGGCAAGGCCCAAAUUUGGUACUACAUUUGCCUAGUAACCUAAUAAAACUGCAUAGGGACUUUUCGGAUCCCGUGGAUAAAUAAACAACAACUCGGGCCAGUGCUCCUCACGAGUGUUGGUUCAAAACAGAGUUACUUGCGAGGCCACCCGGGGCAACUCGGAGGAUGUGCUCAUUCGGUCAUGUCCUGAGAAUGAGAUACACGGCUCCUAUCGGGUUUGGCCACACGUCGGGCGGCCUUGUUGGAUUAGUUCUACCUUCUACAAAAUAUCUUGUGAAUAGAGAUUCCGGCGAUGCUUUGGGAUAUCUCAGAGUUGAGGUCUUCCACUAAGGAAUAUGAGGAGAUCACGAGUUUCGUGAUCGAGGCUUUCUAUGUGGCUUGUCGUAAUUUGUGAUGGACUAGUUGGAGCACCCCCAUAGGGUUAAAUCUUUGGGAAAGUCGUGCCCGCGGUUAUGUGGCAACUUGGAAACUUUGUUUAACAUUCGGUUCUAGAUAACUUGAAGUAAACUUAAUUAAAAGAUGCCAAGUGUGUGCCUAAACGUGACUGUCUCUUUCAUGAGUUCCUUCUCCGACUGAGGACACAGUGGGGUUAUGUCUGACAUAAGUAGGUGUUCACGAUCAUUCAUUUGACCAUCAGUAGGUCACGUCCGCUAUGCGUAGAUCACUCCUCUUUAUUUUUGUACUCGUAAGUUAGCCACCUCAAAUAAAUGCUUAGUCGCUUGCUGCAAUCUCACCACUUAACCAUGCCUCACCCCAUUAAGCUUUGCUAGUCUUGAUACCUUUGGAAAUGAGAUUGCUGAGUCCCUGUGGCUCAUGGAUUACUACAAUACUAGUUGCAGGUAUAGGUAAAGUGACAUUAAGAUGUGAGCAUGAUGAUUACGCUAUUAGAGUUUCUUCUUCAUCAUCAUCGAUCUAGGUGGGGUUCUAGGCCGACAGCUUGGGAUAGCAAGGAUGGACGUCGUUCUUUUGUUGUUUUUUUUCGUCUGUAGUCGAAACCUGCUCUUCUACAUGAUGACUGAAUAUUGUUGUAAUGAUGUCAACUUGAUUUAGCUUGUGGCGAGUGUAAGCCAAUUCUAUAUACUCAUCUCUUCAGUACAUGUCCUUGUAAUGAUAUCCAUCCUUGCAAAACGAUGAGAUGUGCUUCUAUCCCUGUCAAGGACCUCGCGCCAAAAUAAGAAUAGUAUGGCAUCUUGGGUGUUAAAAUCCGCCUGAAGGCUGAGGCUAGGAGCUCUUGAGCCUUGUGCUUGGGUGUCUAACACCUCAAUAAAUCGCCGCCCAUGACACUCUCAUGUAAUAAUGAGUUUGGGUUUGUACAUGCUUCGGAGCCUCCAGAAGUGGAAGCCCACAACGGGCCUCGUCGUGGCCUCGGGAGGGGGCUCCCGCCCACGCCGAAGUGGAAGUCCCCAUGCUCUGUGCUGGCGGAAUUACUGUCAAACUGCGACAAUGCCCAUGCCAAGGUGGAAGCCCCAUGCAUCACGCUGGGGAGGAUCGUUGGAGCCCCAUUCUACCUCACACGAUUGGAUGUUAGGACAUGGUGCCUGUGCUCGGGUUCAUCCCUGUAGCACCGAGAAAUCCAAGCGAUCAAGCUCUAUCUGGCGGUCUCUCACCCAUGCACGUCACCUCCUUAGGUCCUUGGUGUCUAGUUCCAGUACGACACCCAAGCACAAGCAGGCGGGCGUAAGGAGCUCUAACCAAUUCGCCCGUAUGAGAGACGCUUGCACGUCAAGGGGUGUGCCCGAGCACCGUGACUUAGGACCUUCAUUGGUCGUGUAGCCUCUUGCCUGCUGGUAAUCCAGUGGCAAUUGAGAUACCCGCAGGGUUGGGCCCUGCCGACACAAAGUUCAAGGCCUUCAUCACGGAGUGGGAGUUUCUUGCGCAUCAAGGGGGGUGCCUGAGCAUCACGACUCAGGACCUUCACUGGCUCUGUAGCCUCUCACCUCCUGGUAAUCCAGUGGUCGCUGAGAUAUGUGCAGGGUUGGCCCCUGCUGAUGCAGAUCGUAAAGGCUCCAAAUGGUUAAUACUAGGAUCCUCAAGGAAGUCGCUUGCGCAUCAAGGGGGGUUGCCUGAGCAUCGCGACUCAGGACCUUCGUUGGCCCUAUAGCUUCUCACCUCCUGGUAAUUUAGUGGCGGUCGAGAUACAUGUAGGGUUUGGCCGUGCCGACGUAGAGCGCCAAGGCUUCCAGAGGAGAAUGUUUGGGCCCUCUAGGGAGUCACUUGCACAUCAAUGAGGGGUUCCUUAGCAUCCCGACUAACGACCUUCACUGGCCCUAUAGCCUCUCACCUCCUGGUAAUCUAGUGGCAGUUGAGAUACCCGCAAGGCCGGGCCCUACCGACAUAGACCGCCGAGGCUCCCGAAGGGGAAUGUAGAGGUCAUCAAGCGAUUCGCUUGUGCGUCAAGGCGGGCACCUGAGCAUCACGACUCAGGGCCUUCACUCGCCAUGUAGCCUUUCACCUCCUGGUAAUAUAGUAGGUGCUAAGAUACGCACAGGGUUGGGCCCUGCCGACGUAGAGCACAAACACAAGCAAGAGAAAAACCUAGUGUAGAGAUAGACAUUACGAAACACGAGCAGUUAUAAUAGAAUUCAAAUUGUUCCGUACAAUAAAGGAUGAUGACUGACGCCUCCUCGAGGCAAGGAUAAUCUUUCUCGGGGCAAGGUAGGGGCUCCUCACCGGAUUCCUCGUCAUCAUUGCACGAGAACUUCUCGAGAAACACACGCACGUGGCCCUCCAUGGAGGUCACCAGUCACCGCGGGGCUCCUCAGGACAGAGGGCCCAUCACCACUUCGAACUCGAAGUGGGGAUCGCCAAGGAGGAGGUGGGUGAAGACGCGGGUCGCGGCCACACAGAAAAGAUCGCGAGACUCCUCCUCCAAGCUGAUGUCCACCUACUUGGCCGUCCUCUCGACCUCCAUCACGAGCUCAGAAGAAAACUCGGCGUAGCCGGCGUCUUCGGAAACGAGGGAAACCUCGAGCCCCGACCUGCAAACGGAGCUCAGAGCUUGGUGGACCUAGUGGUCCAUAGAAGAAAGCGUGGCAUGGUCCGGUGCUGCCUUCGUGUUGGCAGCGGCCCGGGCCUCGUCUUCCCAUGCACCCAGCUCGGCAUUGGCCUCGGAGGCUUGCUUCACAUGGGUGUCCCGAGCCUUAGCAACCUCGCGUUGAAGUGCCUCUAACCACCCGCACUCCGCGACCUCCUCGGCUACCACCCUUGCUAACUCAAACUCACGGUCGGUGAGCUUUGACUCGUGGGCCUUGGUGGUCACCUAAAGAGCCUUCAAGCUGACCUCUACCUCUUCACAGCGCCAGGCAAGAGCUUCCUUCUCUGCAUGGGCGCUCAAGCAGGCAGCCUUUCUCUCGGCGACCUCCCGCCGACCCUCCAUGGAAACAACCUUGACCUCGCCUCUGACUUCCUUGGUGGAGAAAUUGAGUUGGCUCCACUGUGUGGCCAACCUCUCGCACUUCGCGUCCUGACGCGCCUCGGCAUCUCGGAAGUCCGCCUCGAGCUGGGGGAGCAGGCUAAAGGCGUCGGUUAGGGACCUGCACUAGAGCAAGACGUCCGGGCUCCUCAGGGCGAAGGCCUCCUUAGUUUCAUCGCCCCGACGCUACCCGGUGCCGCCACCAGAGCGGCCUCGACGCCCUGUGCAUGGGGUGCUGGGGCUAUGGGUGCUUCCCCGCUCAAGACGCCAGCAGUGCACUCACGAGAACCAUCCCCCUCCUCCGAGGCCCCGCCGGAGACCGCAACCACGACAGUUGGUGACGGGGCCUGGACCGUCGCGGCCUUGGCCGGCAGCGUCAGUGGCAGGGCCACUGCGGCCCCGAUGAUCUUGUCUCCUAGCUGCAUGGUGGAGACGUCCGAAGAUGCAAUGGCAUUUGUGUGCCGGACCGCGGCGCCGGACUUGCGCGGGCUACCUACACACCCACCGAUACCCCUACCGAGGGACGAAGGUGCCCUCAAGACCUGCAUCACAGUUGCCCAAGAAAUGACCAUCUUCUUCUUCUCCUCACCGCCACCAGGGAGCCUUCUCCUUAAGCAGACUAGUCGCGGAUGAAUAGCAUGAGUACGGGGUAAGGUACUUACUUGUCCCCGAAGGCCCACUUUCUCUUCUUCUCCGCGUUGGGUUGUGUUCUUUGCCGAGGGAGGCGCAACCGUUGUGGAGCCCAGCCCCGCUCCGUCACCUGAGGACACGGGCUCGGGGGCAUUUCUUGGCGCUUCUCGUCCAUAGCAGCAUCGUCCCCAAGACUGUGUAAGGAUGGAUGAAGGCUGGGCAGUGGAAUCCGGCCGACGUCUUCUUCCCCUUCCAUUACCUCCGAUUCCUGGUCGUUGUUGUCCCAGUCCGAGGACGCGACCAUGAUGGGGAGUCUUUGUGCGGCCCGACGAGCCCCCACUUGUUGAAGGGGCAUUUCUGAGACCAUUUCGUCCAUAUCAUCGCAGGCCUACAACGGCGGCGUGGCCUAUGGGAGGUCCUCACGAUAGGGAGCGAGCAGAGCCCCCAAGGCUCAGUCCAGCUCGUCAUGUGUCAUGCCACUAACGUGCACACACAUCGGGUCGUCGCUAGAGGUGAACUCCCACAAGGGAUGCGAGUGCACUUGAAGUGGCGCGAUGCGAUGCCCCAAGAACUCCUUGAUGAACAUCGCCCUCGUUAGGCGGGCCUUCGCGAGGGAGGCGAUUCGCUCUCCGAUUGGUCUCGCCGUCGGGUCGGUGAGCUUCUUGUGGCUCCACUUGGGGGUCCUCUCAGGUGGACUCAAGGGGUCACGAGGAGCGAGCUCUCCCACCACACGUCCAUGAAGACCGAGUGGUUCCGGUAGCCCUCGACCUUCUUCCCGGCCUUUAGGCUGCUUCAAGUGCCCAUAACGUCAAUGAAGGAGACGCAUGCGGAGCGCUAGCCCUGGGCAGUGAACCUCAAGCUGAAGAAGUGAGGAAAGAGCGCCACCAAGGGACUCACACCCACGAAGGCCUCGCGGUAAAACGUGAAGACGAACAGGAUAAGGACGGAGUUUGGCUGAAGGUGUAGAGCUUGGAUCUCGUAAUGGGAAAGGAUAGCAUAGAAGAAGUCGGAAAACAAAGGGCCCAGCCCGUCGUAUAUGUUGUGGUGGAAGAAGGGGUACGCAUACUUCACCAAGCUGCUUGGCGCUGUUGAGCCUAUCCAGAUGGUAGUAGCUCCCCACUCAUUCGUGUCGCUCACCAUGAGCGGAAGCACCACACCUAGUUCCUCCACCUUCGAGAUGCGAGCAGGCAAGAGAGCAGGCUCGGCAGCGGCGGUGCUCACGGAAGACACCAUGGCCUUCCCUUUCUUGCUGGUGGGCGCCAUAUGCCGUCCGGAGCCGCAAUGGGGGCGAGAAGGUGACUUGCUCGGAGUCUGGAUCCGGGGCGUUCUUGCAUAGAGGAAGAAGAUACAGAAAGGUGGGAAUGACGUGAAGGUUAGUAAUGAUGACUACAUCCUGUGUGCCUGCCUUAUGUUAGCCGGGGUGGGUUCUAGAGCACUGUGAUGAGGCAGGGUGCCCCGCAUCCCGUCACGGCCUGGCCAAAAGGAAGGAGAGCCCAUAAUGUCUCACCCCAGACUGCUGGGCCAUAAACACCGUGGACUCUCGUGCUAUUGCUGGGGCUAUGGGACCGGGGUCCCGAGGUCAUCCUGCCCGCGGCCAAGGGCCCGAUGCGUGCUGUGGGCCCUGAGGCGCCCCCGUUAAGAAUCGAGGGUUCGGCCCUCAUGAGGGACCCUCCUCGCGAGGGCCGAUCGUGGGGUUCCCCUGGGAUGCUCCCCCCGAGGCUUGUGGGCAAAAGGCGCCUCCAGAAGCAUCCCUCCGAGGGGUGCACCAACCGAGGGAAGCUAGUCGAGGUCACGUGGUUCAACCACCUUACGUGGAUGACCUGAGCCAUGUUGCUCGGUACCAAGGUCGGUGCGAGCGAGCACAGACAGAGAGGCUUUCCCCAUUGGUGCUAAGGGAACCAAGCCAGUUGCGGGUUCCCAAAGAAACCUCCAAAGGUUUCCCGAUUGGUGAAAGAGGAAUAAGGCUAGGGUAUCGGCAGGACGGAGCACAUCCCUGAGCCCACCAGUGCGUCACGAAGAAGGGCUUUUGCAGGCAAAGACCACCUUUGUCAGUGCGGGUCGUAGUCCUGUGCCCUUUCAAAAUGUACGUUGUGGCUGCCCUUCCCACUAAUUGUGUUUUCCAGGAAGAGUACCAAGGCUAGUAUAAAAGAGAGUUCCGGCCUCCGCAGAAGGGGACCCGAGGCUCAGUGUGUGACCUACGACAAUAAACUGCCUUUGUACUCAUCUUCCACCUCAAGCACCCUAUCAAAGAAGGAGUAGGGUUUUACACCACAAGGUGGUCCGAACCUUGGUAAAGUAUUGUGUUCACUUCCCUUAGCAUGUGGCACCGCAGAGUCAUCGUGAAGUUGAGAGGUAGAACAGGGUUGGUCAGCGAGUGCACCCUAGAGUUUGAACCUUUUCAUGGAUCUGUGGAGCCCUGAGUCCGACAACCAUGGGUAUCCACGUUCAAAACAUACAUAAAGUGAUCUCAAAUCAAAUAUUCAAACCGACAUAACAAAAUCUCAGAGGGAAGAUUCAGUUCAGCACAUGAAGAUAGCAAGGGACAAACAUCAUAUGAUCUAACUAUAUUAACAAAGCCCAUGAUACAUCAAGAAUGUGACAUAUCAAUAAAAUGAGAGAGAGAGAUUAAACACAUAGCUACUAGCACAUACCCUCAGCCCCGUGGGUGAACUACUCCCUCCUCACCAUGGCCUCCACUGGGAUAAUGAAGAUGGCGAUCGAUGAUGAUUUCCUCCUUCGACGGGGUACCAGAAAGGGUCCAGAUGGGAUUUCUUUAAUAUGGAGAGUUGUGGAGGCGAAGAAAAUUCUUUAGGUUAAAUUUUCGGGAUUUCCAAAUUUAUAGGAUUUUUCAAGGUUGGGAUCACGUCAGCCGGAGCCAAACGGGCCCCACAAGCUAACAAGGUGUGCCUAGGGAUGGGGGCGAGCCCUGUUGGUGUGUGGCACACAGUUGACCCCCUGUGAUGGUUCUUCACUCAGGUAUUUCUCAAAUUGUCCAGAAAAUUCUUCAAAAAGUAUCGUGCGAUUCUGAGAACUUUUAUUUUGUGCAUAAAACAACACCACGAUAAUUCUGCUGAAAACAACAUCAACCUGGGUUAGUUCUAAUUAAAUCAUAUAAAAUUCAUCAAACUUAUAUAAAAGUAUUGUAACAUAGGUAAAUAUGGCAUGAAUAAUUCAUAAAUUAUCGAUACGUAGGAGAUGUAUCAAUAACCCCAAGCUUAAUUCCCACUCGUCCUUGAGUAGGUAAAUCAUGAAAGAAGUAAUUUAGUAAGUGUGAAUGCUUGCAUAGUGAAUAAGUUUGAUCAAUGAUAAUUUCAGUUACUUUUCUCGUAAAACUUAUCAUGAAGGAGUAGCAAUCAAUUCACAUGUCAUGGUUCGAAUAAUGCAUUCUCUUGAAACUUGACAACCUAUGUUUUUUAGUCAUCAAACAAUUUGAAUGCAUAUUAUUUUCAACGAAGUCUAAGUAAGAUCUCCACGUACUCAAUUAUCAUAUAGUCUUCUACAAAUUGCUAAUACUCAAAGCAUAUUUUUAGAAUAAACAGCUUCCAUCAAACAAAUAUAAAGAUAGGGGCUCAGUGUUCGCCUCCGAACAUACUUAUCCUGAACAUAAUUGUCGAUAAUAAUGAAUUAUGAUCCAAUAUAUUUGACUUGAUACAUGUGUUUUGAACAUUCCCCACCGCGUGGUGCUUGCCAACUAAUAGGUUGAGGUUGGAAUACGAAGUUGACUCAACAUGAAAAAUAAAUAACAUGACAGUAAAUAACAUAAUAGUAAAUAGAUUCUCCCUUCGCGAAGGGAAGCAAGGAUUUGCAGAGGUGCUAGAGCUCAUUGCUUAAAACACGAAUUAAUAUAUUUUGGGUGGUGUGCCAUUCCAAUCAAUAUUACAACAAGGGAUUUGAGUAUCUUACAUGCUAAUUACAUUAUGGGUGGUUCCCAAACAAAAUUGAAAUUUUACUCCCCCUCAACCAUCCAAACACAUUACAUGGCUAGCCAUAUAUACAUGUGCCCUCCAAACAAUCAACUUUCUAGGGGGAGUUCUUGUUUAUUUAUUUAGUUGUAUUAGGCAGGACUAGGCAUCCUUUUUACGAUCCUAUUUCAUGCAAUGACAAGUGAAUAGGUACGCAUCAAGAGAAUAACCCACUUAGCAUGGAACAUAUUGACCGCCCUGGUUGCUCGAUUAGCGGUACUUGCACUCAAAACUGAUGGUUAUUUGAAGUUUUUACAUGUGGGACAUGCAAAUUUACUUGGAAUGGCAGUGAAAUACUCCCUCCAUCCAAAAAUAAGUGUCUUAAGCGUAAUACAACUUUGUACUAAAGCUAGUAUAAAGUUGAGACUAUUAUUCUGGCACAAUGGGAGUACCAUAUAUAAGUAGGCAUGGUGGACUCUCAUGGAAGAAACUUGGCUCAAGCAUUUGGAUGCACAAGUAGUAUCUCCACUUAGUACAAAGUUUUGGCUAGCAAAAGGUUCUAAACAAGCACCACAUGUUGGAGGAUCCGUAACAAUAUAAAUUCUAUGCAAAUAUAACCAAACAUAACAAUUACGUUGUCUUCCUUGUUCAAGUUCAGCAAUUUGGUUAUGGUUGAAAUAAUUAAUGGGUAUUCAGAAUCAUAAAUGGUGUCCAAGAUACUAUAUUUGUAUGCCAAAGUUCUCUUUCUUAUACUAGUAAUUCAUGAAUUGCUUGUGUGCCAAUAUUAUGAUUGUCAAACUGAAAGCACAACUUCUCCCUAAGGUGGUUUUGGUAUUAAAAACAACAUAUGUAUCAUUGAACUAAUGAUUCUAUCUAGUAUAUUUCAGAAAAUUUCAAAGAUGCAUUUGCUAAGGAUUGUGAGGAGAACCCCUGGAUGCAAGAAACAUCUAUUUGUAACUAGCUUGAAGACUCUACAUUUUAUAUUUUCUGAGAAAUCAAAUUUGAGUCCGUAGGAAAGCCAAUACUAUUAAAAUGGGAUGAGGUGACUAUGAUGAUCUGGUUGCUCAAGUGCUUAGAGAUAGCCACAAAAAAUACUCAUGAAAUUCUCCCACAAAUAUUGUGUCAAAAACCACAUAGUCCAAUAUUCGAUGCCACCAAAUUUCCAUUGGCCCUACCAAGUUUUCCACGAGACAAAACCUAUGCCAAAACCCUAGCACCUUGGUGCCACCAACAUUCCAUUCAGCACCACCAAAAUCACUGACCAACCCUACCAAUUCGAGAUUUCUAUAUCGGUCUUGCCGAAAAGACAAAAGUUGCCACAUUUUGUACUAUCUAGUGCGACCGAGUUUCACUUCGCUUUCUCCGAGUUGGGAAAUAAUGUAGUAACGGUUGGAUUUUUGGAGAUGCCUAAUAUACCCAUCCACCACCUCUCGUUCGCAGAGGCAACACUCAGAACACACAUACACUUGUCAUAUUCUUUUUCCUAAGAGGGGGGCACCUAUUAAUGUGUUGAGAUCAAGAUAUUCCAAUCCCACCAUUUGAAUCUUGAUUUAUAGCCUACCCAAGUUGCUUUCCACCCAAUCAGUCUCUACUACCUAAGCCAAAUCUAUGAGAGAGUGAUUGAGUGUUGAUGAGACUAUCUUUGGAAGCGCAUGAGAAAGGAGUUCAUCGUACUACCGCAUCUAUUACCUUUUUGAGGGUGGUGCCACCUAUAUUGGUUAGGUGUCGCCUGGGAGGCUCUUACUUCGUGUUGUGGAGUUGGACCAAGAAGUUUGUAAAGGCAAGGAGAUCGCCUACUUCAUCACGAUCUACCCUGAGUGAGGCUAGUCCUUUGUGGACGUAAGCCAUGAUAGAAUAGACAAGGUUACUUCUCCAUGGACCCUUCGUGGGUUAAGCCCUCCGUGGACUCUCGUGGCUGUUACCAUCCAUGGGUUUAAGUCUCCAUCAACAUGGACGUAGGAUAGCACCACCUAUCUGAACCAUGUCAAAAAUCGUCGUGUCAAUCUUUGUGUUUGAUCUUCCUAUCCCUAUACCCUCAAUUUACAUGUGCAUGUCUUUACUUUUUGAUGUUAUACUCUUAGACAUGCUUGUUACGGUGUGAUUGACUUACAACAAUUGAUAAAACUUGCCCACAACUAAAAUUGGGAAAAGGCUUAGUUUGCAUUUGGUCAAGUAGUCUAAUCACCCCCCUUUAGACAUACUUUGGAUCCUACAAGUGGUAUCACAGCUUUGGUCUCCAUUGUAUGGGUUCACAACCUAGGAGAUUAUGGUGUCUAGUGAGGGAAAUUACGACCGCACAUGUCCGUACUUUGAUGGUAUAAACUUUCCUAGUGGGAAGCAUAAGAUGAAACUACAUAUUCUUGGUCAUAACCCCGCUGUUUGGGCUUUUGUUCGUGUCGGUUUGCAAGGUGAAUUCUUUGGUGAUGGAAGGGAACUAAAUCGUGAAGCGAUAGUGGAAUAAUUGUCUAUGCCCCGAAGUGUUCAACAAGAUUAGUCGUCUUGAGAAUGCUAAGGAAAUUUGGGACACUUAGGUUGAUAUGCAUGAAGGUACCGAAACCGCCAAAGAAACUAAGUUGGAUGUGCUACAAAGUCAGCUUCACAAGUUCAAGACAAAGGAUGGUGAAUGAGUCACUGAGAUGUACUAUAGGAGUGCUCUCAUCACUAAUGAAAUUACCGGCUUAGGAAACAAAGAGAUGACCGACAAACUCAUCAUCAAGAAGAUACUUAGACCCUUGGAUGGAAAGUACAACACCGUCUGCAGAUUAAUCCAAAUGAUGGAAAAUUACAAAGAUCUCAAGCAGCAGAAGUCAUUGGAAUGAUUUUUGCUCAUGAAAUGUCAAUCAAGGACAAACAAGACCUUCACUAUAAGUCAAGAAGUGAUUACAAGGCUUCUAGUGAUACUCCGGCUCCUUCAAAUGAAAAUAUUGUCACCAAUAAAGAGAUAAGCCUCAUGAUCAAGAAAUUCAACAAGUUCUAUAAGACUAGAGGGAAAUAGACAGGAUCCAAAUCAAGAUAUGAAGAGAAGCGUUCAUCUAGUCAUGACCGAAACUGCUACAGUUGUGCAAGUCCACGACACUACUUUAAUGAGUGCUCGCACCCCCCCCCCACAAAACAAGAGAAGAGUCACCUAGAAGAUGAAUCUUAAGAAAUGAGUAACCUCUAAGAGAAAGAAGGAGUAGAUAAAAUUGUUAUGAAUGAAGACCCUCCGAGAAAAGCAAGAAACAGUAGAGGAAGUACAAGUACACCAAUAUACACUCGAUAAGAAGACAUUAAGCUCAUGUUGGUGAAUGGGUAUUCGGCUUCGAGUCUGACAACCAAUCAGUGAGAAGCUACCACUCCAAAUAUCACAAUAGUCAAGAUGAAGGUGUUUCCGGUCUUGCACUCGUAUCAUCCAACUACUAUGGAAUAUUUGAUUCACCAAAUGAAGGGAUUGGAAAAUGCUUGAUGUCUAAAGGCACCAAGGUAUCACACCCUCAGUCCUUUGACUUUAAUAGUGAUGAGGAUGACCUACUUGGAGAUGAUGACAUGUUCUUUGAUAAAACUAGUGAUAGCAAUGAAAAUGAAUUUGAUGAUGAUGAUAAAAGGAGAUUGAGCGUCUAACUAAAGAAUUAGAAAUUCUAAGUUAGCCUAUGAAUCUACUCUAGAAGAUCACAGGGAACUUGCAAGAAGUCAUGAGAAGCUACACUUUGAAAAGUUAAAUUUAGAGCAUGAGCAUGAGUUUCCAAAUGCAAUCAAUAAUGAUCUUCCAAAGAAGAGUUAUUAUUAUCUACCCAAACGAUUACUCUUGUCUACUUUUGUUCCACAAGUUAAAUAUAAGAAAACUAGUAACGAAGGCAAGAAAGUUUCUUCAUCUAGUAACAACCACACCAAUGCUAUGUCCAAUGAUGUUGUUGCUAGUAGUUCUCUUGAUUCCACUAAUGAUUCUCUUGGACCAGUUACACGUGAUAACGAGAAUGAUUUAUUCAAAGGAAUUAUGGAGAGAGAUGUCAUCAAGAGUCUUGCCGGAAGUAAACAAUUCAAGGAGAUUACAGCAAGCGAGGAGGACAUCGGAAGAAACAAUGCAUUGGCUACUUAAUACAAAUGGAGUUGAAUGGGAAGAAGGUCAAUACCCCAACCCGAAGUUUGUUCCCCAAAAGGAGAAGUAUGAUCCUACUCUCCCCAAGGUAACAAAUGCUCAAGACGACCUUUCACCACAAGAACACAAGAUCUAGGGCAAGGACAAGCUUCAAGAGGAGAUUGACUCAUUCGAAGAAGAAUCCCAAGCUAUGGUCAAUUGAAUUCCCAAGGCCACACUAGCUCUACUUCAUCAAGCACUACCUUAACUCCGAGAAUCCCCAUCAAGUUGAUGUGGGUCCCUUAGAAGAAGAACUAGAGAAGUUCUCGAGGGGUGACUCCACCAAUGAAAUUCACUCUUAUUCAUUUUGGCAAGAACUAGUUGCAAUCAACUCCAAACACAUGCAUUAGUUCAACGAGUCACACAUUGUCUCAAUGGUAAGAAAGGGACAAGGUAAUUAAUGUAUCAAUGGACUUCAUCUCAUGUGAACUUCACUCCAUGUCCAUAGAUAUCCUUGUACUUGUUCCUUGUGUGGGACUAACCCAUGUAGGCGAGAAGAGUAAGAAACAACAAGGAUUUCUGCCAACUAAAGAUGAUCUUCAUCAACAAUGAGCAUCCACCACUACUACACCUACAUGAAGUCUUCUAUGAAAAAACUUAAGGUUAGUCUAUCCCUCUUAGGGGCGAUGUCACUUCAAGGAGGAGCUUUACUCUAAGACUUGAGUUAAAGCAUCUCUUAUGGUGUGAACACAUUGAAAGAUUUAUGUCAAAGUGGCAACCCCACUUUCGCUUAAACAAUGAGUAUGACCUAUGAUCAAGUAUUCUUCCUUGGAUCCUAAGUCAAUAUACUCAUAUAGAGAUGACUUUGUCAUAGCCAAAGUGCUUGGUAGAUACUAGAGUGGUUGUGCAUGUUUGUCAUGCUUUAUUUGACAUCUUAAUGUGUGAGCAUGUUGGUAUGCAUAUUUUUGGUCAUUCAAGGAUAUCCAAUUGUUGUUAUUUGACUUUCUAUUUUCUUUGGCCAAUUGGAUAUACAAGAAUUCCUAAGUACACCUCUCUAGAUAUCUAUGCUUUCUCGUAUCAAAUUCUAUUCAUGGUUCAUCACAAAAUUUGUGCAACCACUUGUCAGUAACCCUGUGCGAGGAGCGCUCGGAGAUCCGUCUUGACACAGAGAUAACUUCCAAAACCUCCCAUGUGCAACUCGGUUACCAUCUCCACAAACUUGGUCUGACCGCAGCACUAGAGUUGAUCUAGUUUUUGAACCUUGGUAGAACCAAUUUUGAAAUCUCAGCCUCAUAGAAUUUCCCUGCCCUAGGCAGUUAGCAAUCUCCGUGGCACCGAAAUUUUCUAAUUGGUGUCACUGAAAGAUACAGGGUAUAUAACCUUUGUGGAAACAAGAUUGAAAAUUAAUUUCACUCUUCACCCAUCCAUACCCCUGUGUUGCCGCUGCUCUUGUGUAACACCCUGUGUUUAACUCUCCCGACUAAUUAACCUUUCUCAAAAAUUAGGACCAAUUAAAAAUUUUAUGAGUGCUUGUGAUGCUUGAAGUGAUUGUUGUUUGUUUGCUUGCUUGUUUGUAUGCGUGUGUUUGAUUCUCAAUUUUCCUUCGACUCUCCACACUCACCUCCUUGUCCCAAAACCUUUCCUAAUGAUCAUGCCAUGUGUAUAGGACCACAAACUAUUUUACUAAAUAUUAUUUUCACCAAAAAUAUUUUAUUUAAUUUAAGCUUUCAAAACCCCCUGAGUUGGGAUUUGUACUACAAGUCCUCAAAUUAGGGGAGUUAUUUUAUACCAAAUAUUUAAUUUAAAUGACAUUAUCAAAAUGGCUUCCAAAAACCUCAAUAUUACUAUUUAAAAAGUUAUUUUACUAUUUUAUUUAAAUACCAUUCUCUGAGGCCAUAAAUGGUCCCUUAUGAAGGAAAGUUACUUUUAUUGCUUUCAAAAUAUUUGAUAAAAAUUAGGGAAACUAAGUGGACAUAUAUAUUCCAUAUAUAUGAGUUUCGAUACAUGGUCAUGUUCAAAAUAUAGGGCAAAACCCUUCCUGCUUACUUCAAUCUUUUGAAAUAUUUCAAUAAGAAAUAUUCUCAAUAAAUUCCUGUAAAAUUCGAGCAUGUCACAUAUGAUAUAUGUAAUGAUCUUGCCAAGUUUCAUCUCAAUCCAAGUUGAUUUGAUUCACUUAGUUAUUCUAAAAUCCUAUCUGUCCAAAUCCAAAUUUGAGCAACUCUACAUUGCCAAGUGUAUCCAAUUGUGCUCAGAUUUGGUGGACAGGUUGUGAUACUCAAAUAACGAAUCCACACCAAGUGGUGCAUCAAGGAGAAUAGAAGAACUUGUCCUAGACCCCUCAAUACGUUCUCUCUUAUUUCUAACUUUGGGAAAUUUUACAUUAUAAAGUUUCUGCAAUUGAUCCCAAACUGCUUGGGCAUUCUUUAAUGUUCAAAUAAUGCCCCCACACCAAUUUUUGGAUUUGUGGGAAUUGAUUUGCAUGGUUUCUUAUACAGAAAGCCAUUUAUGCCCAUUUCAUUGGGUUUUCACGUCUACAAUGGAAACUUUCUCCACGGAAUCCCAAAAUUGGUUUCCGCGCUUACUUUCAUCUACAAUGUGAUCCUGUUAAGUUUCAUAUCAAUUGGAAUCUAUAUGGUAUCCCUAGCAUCCGUCAAACACCUUGUGUGCAUUACCAAAAGUUGCUGCUUUGGAUCCUUCCACUAUUUCCCUUGAGCUUAAAUUUUUACCACAGCCUUCCAUAGUCCCCUUUUACAUCCAGUUACCUUUCCAUGGCCAUUGGUCAAUUAUUGGGGUCUGACUCCAUCUAUAUACCCCUCAUUUUCACCUUGGCAGCACUGGUUUACCCAUCUUGCUAUACUUCUGCUUAGGCCAAAGCCCCCAUAUUCUUCCAGGGAAUCUCUAGCAUGCUAAUGCAUCAUUUCAAACCAAGAUAUGGCAUGCUCAUGUAGGAAAAUUGAGCAACACAUCUGAAACUUGAUUUUUGGAAGCAUUGUAGCCUUCGACUACAACUACCAGCUAAACUCAUCCCCCUGAGGUCAAACCUUCCAGAACUGUAGUCCUUCCAUGCCUAAGACUACUAGACAUGGUUUCACCCAAUUAUCUCUCUAGUAAGUGCCCUCAUUGCUAGCCUUAAGUUUGCUGCUGCAAACUAAAUUGCAGUCAAAUCAAAUUCAAACCAGAUCAACAAAAGACCAAACUCCUCACUCACACUCCAGCAAGCAUGCCCCACACCCCAGACACAUUUGACUUGUCAUAAGGGCCCUGUAGACACAGGUGGCCGUGGUGACCACCUCCGUGUCAUGCAGAAAUGGUGCUCUGCACCUUGGCCUCUUGCUGCAGCUCGGGUCCAGCGAGGGCAAUGUGUCCCAGAGCACCACAAGGCCUCCCUUGACCGUCAAACGUCGCUCCCCAACGCUGGCUAGCAUCCAGACGCCCCAGGGACGCGUUCUCUCCCAUGCCAGAGCGCAUGCGCCACGGAGCCGAGCUCCUCCUCGUCACCCUCCUCCUUUUCACCGUGCACGGGAGUCUUUGCUGUCUCCUACCUCCUUCACCCUCUCCCUCGAAACCCCAAAGCUCCCCACUGUCCCUCUCCUGCCCUUAAUCCGUCCCCAUGGCCAAAGCCUUCCGCCGGCCCUAUCUUGAAUCCGAGCCUCUCGGGUGUCCCCUCUCCUUCUCCGAUCACGGUGACGUGCCCCUGAUGCCCCUGCAGCCUCCCCACCCUCCCUCUUCUCCUCGGGUGGCCAGCAGGUUGGGCACCGCAGCUGCCAUCGCUGCGGCUAACGACACGCUCAGAACGCUCCCCUCCGGUAGGGGUGGAGCGCCCAGGCAGGUGCGGCUCGAGCACUUGAGUACUUCGGUGGCCGAAGCAUUUCGAAAUGCAGCCGUUGGCGUUGGGGAGGCACUCAAGAGCGCUCGGCUGCAAUGCCCCUGUCUCGCCUGGCUCGAGCGGGAUGUAGGAGACAGCCUGACGAUCGGUUCCCGCGCAUCAAGGAGCCAAGACCGGGCACCCUCUCCUUAAGUGGAGGCGGGCUUUGCCCCGGCGCCUCCGCUUCUGUGGUAACGCCUUUCGUGUAUUAAAAAUAUCGACGUGGCCCUCCUGCGCGGCAGGCCAAGCGGCUGGGCCAUCCCAGUUCCUCCCCAACGCCCUUAGCGCGAUUUAAUUCUCUGGUAUAGCCCCUCUUUUUAUUUUUCUCUUUUCGUCAGAAGCUUGUAAAUCGAUCAAAAAUUCAUUGUGGCUCCAAAUCUUGUGAUUCAAGUUUCUGCAGGUUUCUAAAAUCAUGGCCUAUCCAGAUCUGUGCUUUGCACAUUUUUCCAAGAAUAUUUUCUGUAGUGUUUUAUUCAAAUUCAAAAUAUGGAUAUUUAAAAUCCCACCUUGUAAAAUUUCUAGAAAUCCCAAAUAAACUCCAAAUGGAGUGAUUCCAAUUUCCACAGACAUAUUAAACCGUUCCCUAAUUUCCUAGCCUAGGUGAACAUUUUUCUCUGCCUUGUUUUUGUUGCAUUUAAUAAAUAGUGCCUAUUCCUAUUUAUUCCAUAUUGAAAAAUCCCUAGAAUACUAAUACCAACUCCAAAUCCAGUGAAACAACUUCCUAAAUGGUUCUAAAAUCAUGCUCUGUUAAAUGAGUGGCUCCACUCAUUUUUAGCAGAAUGAUUUAAAUAGGUUUCUUAAAGGAUCGCCUCUUCCUCCUUUCAUCCAUUCAAAAUCCGUGAUGGUCCAAAUCUCCUAGAGGAAGCUUCAGGCAUUUUUCUUAUGACCAGAGAUGUCCAAGAAAAAUAAAACUCCUAUUUAUAUAGAACUUCUCUUUCCGCUUGUUGUGUGCCUUAUUGUGAUUGUUUCCGACGAUAGUUGACGAAGUAGAUGGAGUACUCGGAGUUGGACCGGAAGACCUCGAAGACCCUGAGGACUUAUGUGAGCCAAGGCAAGUAGCCCUUUGACCAUGUGUGAGAAAAUGUUUUAUGCAUGACAUAUUGAUUACUUUAUUCUGAUGCAUAUAGUUAAGAUUAAUCGGUACACCCCGGCAUGGUGUUUCGAUAGGUCCUCCAGAGCACUUGCAUUGAGCAUGACCCUACCAUCUAUGAGGGUCACGCCGAUAAAUGUUGACAAGUAGAUAGUAGCGCUACGCAUAGGAUGAGCAUAUGCAUGAUGACGGUAAAACAAAGGUGGUAUCAAAGGUUUUACGAGAACCCCGUCGGGUGCCACUUAUGCCCGAGGGUGAUGUGCUGAGAUGGAUGACCACUUGAGAAAGAAGUGGUGUACCGGAAAGGUUUUGUGUGAGAGGUUUCGGAAAUGGGAUUAGAUUUAUGAUGUGUCGACUGUCCCAACCUUACAUGUGCAACCACGAUACCCCUUUAUAGGACGGGGCUUGUUGAUUACUUUCGUCGGUGCUAGCAAAGAGCCCGCAUUACUAGUGGCGGGAGUGAUAUGGUCACUCUCAUGACGAGGUCAUACCAGGUAGGUCGACUAUGCCGUUUUUACGUAUUCCAGGCACACCGUUGGUCUCCGUAUUGAUGAUACGGUCCAGAGUUGGUGCCCGUAAGACGUACAUCAUGUGGGUUGGGUACCAAUCGGGUGGACUCUUUCUCUAGUGCCGUGAGGGGAAAGGCAAUGAUCGGGCACUUACCUCGGGUAUGUUAUAUACCGCGAGUCGUGGAUGACACGGAUGUUUCCCAGAUCUCGUGGGUACAACGUACAACCUCUGCAGAAUGUAAAACUAUUCGAAUUGCCAUGUCCAUGGUCAAGGAUAGUUGGGUAAUCCUGCUUAAACAACGUCCAAUCGUUUCCGCGUAAACCAAGUGUGUGUGUGNNNNGUGUAUUAAGGUGUUAUAUGAGUAAGAGGAUAUGAACAGUGUGGAGACUUGGCAUAUAGGGUGAACCUAUGGUGUUGAGCCCUCCAUAGAUACAUUUAUAUCUGUGACGUGUAUUCAUGAUUACUAUCUAGCUUAUGAUGCAUAUCCAUACAUGUAGUUCAUGUUCAUUUUCUAAUUAAAACUUGCUUUCUGCAAAGGAUCCUUCUUAUGCUAGUUCAUGUUCCUUUAUUACCUUAUUCCACAUCAUGCGCUGUUUGUGACUACAUUCAAUGUACUCAUUGGCUUGCCACUGGUUAUUUUAUUAACCAGGUAUGAGAGAACAAGUAUGGUGAAGAGUAAUUUGGUGACGUUCCUGCGAGCUAGGACGCUUCCUAGUCGGAAUGCGCGUAGGUUAAGGACGAUGGCUUGGGUUCACGCUUUCGACCAAUAUUUCCGCUAUUGGUCCAGGUUGCUGUAUUGGCCUCCAAGGCCCUAUAUAUGUAAGACUUGACUACAAUGGUCAUUUCUUGUAUCAAACAAUAUGUGUCGAUGUAAGACUCUUGUUAUUCAGUUUAUGUGUGUUCGGUGAGCAUUGAUCUCUUGUAUCACUAAGCACGCUCAUUCGGCGAUCUCGACUCAUAAGUCGGGGUCCCCACAUCGUCUCCAGCGCGCCCUUGCCGCCGGAUUCCUUGGUCAUCGUCAAUCUACUCCACAACUAUUUUUGUAGUUGGACUUCACCAAGUUAGGGUAAAGUUUUGACCCCUCUUGCACUCAUUGAUUUUAAUUCUUGGGCAUGAGUUUUUUUCCAUUAUGUGUCCACAGAUUGCAAUUCCUCCAACCAAAAUAAAAUCCCUUAGUGUAGACAAACGAUAUUUUUUAGGGUUAGGUCUCCGCUUUGUGCAUCUCGGAGUCAUCGGGUGUACCACGAUCCGUGUCACCGAUUCCUGAAUUAGGGCUUCUGAUAACUGUCUCGGUGGAAUCGAGUUUCACUUUUCGGUGCUAACGAAAAGUGUGGCCAAGUUUCUGUUAAUGAGAUGGUCAGUCUCGGAAGCUCCAAAUUUCUGUCUAUGUGGAACCGAAACUCAUAUAGCUGAUACUUAAUACUAAAUUUUUUAGUUCAAAAUUUUGAAUAUUUUUGUGGUUUGUGAUACCCAUCUAUUCCCACUCUUCUAUAACUAUUCAUAGGGUCUGCUUUUCAACUUGUGAGAAUGUCAGGGUCUGAAGAUAGUUAGAAUUCUUAGAGAGAGCAGAGCAUGGAAGUGGUCUUGGGCACUAGUCGUGAGAAUAUUGAUACCGAUCGAGGCACUCCUAGCUCUCAUGAUAUGCCCAAGGUAGCUACCAGGUACAGGAAGAAGCUGAACUCAGAUUAAGGAGCUGAUGAUUCCAUUCCUCAGGAAACAACUUCUCACAAGCAGAAGAAGAAGGUCACAUUCACGAAAACUAUAAGAAAGGAGUUUGCAUAUCCAGAUUUUGUGAGAGCUCCUGAGACAACUAGAUGUGCUAAGUGUCUAGUGGAUGCUAAAACCUCCAAGCUAGCGAAGAAGCUAGGACAUAACAGAGCCGGAAAGAGGAUCGUGCAUGUUUUUGGAAGGCCAACCUCAAUGUAUGAAGAUCCAGCAGAAGCUGGAGAGAAGAAGAGGAAGAGUUACCUGCUAAUCCACCUCCCUCCAAGCCUACAACUAAGGCUAAGUCUACUGCGCCCAAGUCUAAAACGCAUGUAUCUCCUAAACCCAAGAGGACUACAUUAGAUAUUCCUGAACCACAGAAGAACAAGGGCUGUGCAUCCAGAGAUGUUGCUGCAGAAGAAGAAGAAGAUCUUGCUGUUUUGAGGAAACUGAGACCUCACUUGCGAGAGUACAAGAAUGAACACCGUCUGGUAGAGAAUAUGAAAGAAAGGAGGGACCAAGGGCUCAGACCAUGGAGAGUAGCAGAUCCCUAUGUUGUUAGGAGGAGGAUAGUUGUCGAUGCUUGCCUCCACUCCAAGGAGCAAUAGGAUUUUUAUGAAACUGUGAUAUUAGAGAAGAGUCCAACUGUGAGCGACAUGAGAUAUGUAGACUAGGACUACAUCAAGGAACAUGAUGACUACUUGCCUCAUGUGAUAGACAACUUCAGGGCCAUUGACAUAGAAUAAUUUGUUGGCAGAGAGAUGACUAUGUGGAACGACGAGAUGAUCAUGCAAUUCUACUCCACGGCACAUUUCAAGAGUGACUGUAGGAUUGUAUGGAUGACUGAAGGAAACAUGUAUAAAUUGACAGUGGAGGAGUGGGCAACCACCAGAGGUGCUCCAAAGGCAUUAGAGCAUGACUUUGAUGUUUAUACUAAGCCUGAGAUGAAUCAAAAUUCUAUGGACGACAUGUAUAACCCAGUGCCCCAAAAGUACCCAAGGACCCACAAGCUGGGUUUUGUUUACUUCCUGCAACCUGGAAUACCCACCACCAACACCAUAAUGAGAUACACGUUGAUGCCUAAGGUAGGUGAUGGUAAAAUAAUCAAGGGGUAUUCUAUCCAUAUGCUCCACCACAUAGACACCCACACCAGGAUUUGGGUGAUGGACCUGAUUGAAGAGACAAUCGGAAGGAUUGUUGUUGAUCAAAAUAUAUCAUACGGAUAUGCACCAUACAUUCAGAUUAUGAUCAAUUCCAAGAUUGGGAAGAACUUAUAUCUGCUUCAUUGUCCACACCUGCCACUCCAGCUAGAGUUUGAAGAUAAUGAAGUUGUGAUAGAUACCAGCCAUCCUAGUUCAGCUACAUCUCAUGUUCAGACUAAGGCAGUAGCAGAGGUAGAGGCACCUAUAGCAGCUCCAGCUCCAUAGUUAAUGACCAGAGAGGACGAGAUGACUUUUCUCAUCAGCACCAUCCAAGGGUUGGAGAAGAACAUUAUAGACAUCUUGUUGAAUCAGAAGAUUCUCGAGAGGAUCGUGGAGAAAAAUUCCAUGACCUGGAUAUCAACUUGACAAAGUUAGUCACAAGUGUUAAUCAGCUAAAGCAUGAAGUUGUUGAAGUGCACACUCCUCGCUCCAGCAGUGAGAAUGAUGAUGAUACGUCUCUUUCAACUACCACUUAGUGCAGGACCCAUGCCAGAUCUGUAUCUAUGCUACUUCCAUAAGCCAUGCCAUCUUCAUUCGCUCAAGCAUCAGCUCCAUUAGCUCCACCAGCUCAUGUACCUCUAGUGUCUACACCACUACCUCAGAGGACAUCUACUGAAGCCAUCACCAACGCUCUCGUGUCUACUCCAUCAACUCCUUCCAGAGGAGAUCGAAUCCCGAGCGACGCUUAGUUCUAGUUCUUUGAACUUUUGACAACUAGUUGCCUACGGGGGAGAAGUAUAUAGAUCAAUAGGGCUAAGAGACUAUGUGUUGUUUUAUUGUUGUCUUUGGUUUACAAAAACAUUUGGUCUUUUGGAUAUCUUCAACUUUGUGCUUGAUCAUACACUUUGGUUGAUGAUGCUAGUAUUUCACACCUUUGAGCUAUCUACAUGACGAUCAUCCACUCAUUUGUUUGGUGUUAUGUGCAUUAUUAUUCAUUCAUAUCAUUUAUGCACACCACCAAGAUGUAUGUGACAUGUAAGUGUGUCCCAUGCUCCUAAUCAAUUACGCAUUUGCAUUCAAACCAUGUUUGAAAUAAUGCACAAAUUUAGGGGGAGCUCUUGCUCAUCACAUACCUCUCAAAGUGACGAUGCUAAUCAUUGAUUAUAUCAUUUGUUGAAGCUUUGAUCUAUAUGAUGUCAUCAAUUACCAAAAAGGAGGAGAUUUAAAGACCAACUUAACCCUAAGGUGGUUUUUGUAAUUAAUAAUAGAGAUGUAUCAUUGAACUAAUGAUUCUAUCUAGUAUAUUUCAGAAAAGUUCAAAGUUGCAUUGGCUAAGAUUUGUGAGGAGAACCCCUGGAUGCAAGGAACAUCUAUUGGCAACAAGCUUGAAGAGUCCACAUAUUAUAUUUUGUGAGAAAUCACAUUUGAGUCCAUCGGAAAUCCAAUACAAUUAAAAGGGGAUGAGGUGACUAUGAUGAUCUGGUUGCACAAAUGCUUAGAGAUAGCCACCAAAAACACUCAUGAAAUUCUCCCACAAUUGUUUUGUAAAAUCCACAAAGUCGAAAAUUUGGUGCCACCAACUUUCCAUUUUUCCGUACUUAGUUUUCCACCAGAUAAAACCUAUGCCAAAUUAUUAGCAUCUCGGCGCCACCAACAUUCUAGUCGAACCCACCAAAAUCAAUGACGAACUUUCUGGUUAGCCAUUUUCAAAAAUCGGAAUUUCCGAGUUUUGGAAAUCGGUCUCACUAAGAUUUGGACCUGCCCUAGGUCACCCAUAUCAGUACCCCGAUAUUUCUAUAUCGGUCUUACCGAAAAGUUAAAGUUGCUACAUUUUGCACUAAUCGGAGCCACCAAGUUUCUCUUUGGUUUCACCGAGUUGGGCAAUAAUGUUGGAACGGUUUGAUUUUUGGAGAUUCCUAUAUAUACCCAUCCACCACCUCUCAUUCACAAAGGAAGCACUCUAAACACACAUACACUAGCCAUAUCCAUUUUUCUGAGAGAGAGCCACCUACUAAUGUGUUGAGAUCAAGAUAUUCCAAUCCUACCAUUUGAAUCUUGAUUUCUAGCCUCCCGAAGUUUCUUUCUACCCAAUGAAUCUCUUAUAUCCAAGCUAAAUCUGUGAGAGAGUGAUUGACUGUUGAGGAGACUAUAUUUUGUAGCACAAGAGAAAGGAGUUCAUCGUACUGCCACAUCUAUAACCUAUUGGAGGGUGGUGCCUCCUAGAUUGGUUAUGUCUCUCUUGGGAGCCUCCUAAUUCGUGUAGUGGAGUUGAAGCAAGAAGGUUGUACGGGCAAGGAGAUUGCCUACUUCGUGAAGAUCUACCUGGACUGAGGCUAGUGCUUUUUUGGAAGAAGCCAUGAUGGAAUAGACAUGGUUGCUUCUCCGUGGAGCCUUCGUGGGUUGAUCCCUCCUUGGACUCUCGCGGUUGUUACCCUUCAUGGUUGAAGUCUCCAUUAACGUGGACGUACGAUAGCACCACCUGUCAGAACCACACCAAUAGUCGUUGUUUCAAUCUGUGUGUUUGAUCUUCCUAUCCCUACCCUCUAUUUACAUGUGCAUGUCUUUACUUUCCGCUGCAAUACUCGUUGACUUCCAUGUGUAGGGUAUGCUUGACAUACAACAAUUGAUAAAUCCCACAACUUAAUUUGGGAAAAGGGUAAGUUCUUAUUUGGUCAAGUAGUCUAAUCACCCCCCCCCCUCUAGACAUUCUUCGUAUCGUACACAAAAUUGAACGGAUUUUACUUUCUAAACCAAAUGUGAAACUAAUACUAAGAAAAAAACACAUUGAUAGUUUGAAAUUUAUAAUAUUCCUUCAUUCACAAUUUACUCUUAUGAUAUAACUGAAGCACAUGAGUAGACAUCAAGGUAAUCUCAAAAGAUAUAAGUUAAUAACAAUCACUAGUUAAACAAUUAAAUAGAUAUGUGAGGACUCUCUCAAAAAGACUUCCAUAUCUAAGAAUUUUAUUCAAAUGGAAAACAAAACAAAAGGCACUCCAAGAAGAGCACAUAUCAUGUGAAUGAAUAAAAACUUAGGAUCAACGUAGUCGAACUGGUAGUUGUUGACGAAGAGAGGUGGGAUGCGUAGCAUCCCCAAGCUUAAACACUUGAGAGGUGGGAUGCGUAGCAUCCCCAAGCUUACUUCUUGUAAUAUUUACUUAGGGUGCCUUGGGAAUCCCCAAUCUUGAGCUUUUGUAUUUCAUUCAAUCUUCUUAUAUCCUGGUUUCACCUAAGUCUCAAAAGCUUCAUCUACACAAAACUUGAAAUGAACUAGUGAGAUCGGUUGGUACACAUAAGAAUAAAUCAACACUUCAUGUACUACCAAGUCAAGUUGCAUAUUCAGUUUUAGACAUUAGGUAAUGUAUAUUGUGAUUUCCACAAUUUAUAUCUACCAAUAUAAGCCAUGACAACUCUAGGAUAACUAGAUAACUAAACUAUGACAUCAAUUUGUCCAAACAUAAUAGCCUAUAGGAAUUAUUUUUCAAAGUGUACUUAUGUAGCACAAUCAAUUUGUAUUACAGUGUUGUAUAAAAGUUUCAGAAACUUUCCAUAUUCCCGUGAAAUCUAAUAAUUUAUAUACUACAACAAAAGUUUCUGUUUUUGUAGAACACAAAUCACACAUGUAAUUCAAGCAUGUAAAAACAAUAUUAUAAAGAAACAUCAACCAAAAUUUAAAAAAUCAAAAUUAUACUCCAAACAAAACUCAUAUUAUGUGAUGAAUAAAAACAUAGCGCCAAGUAAGAUAUACCGAUAGUGUUUGAGACGAAAGAGGGGAUUCCUUCCGGGGCAUCCCCAAGCUUACAUGCUUUAGCCUUCCUUGGAUAUUACUUUGGAGGUGCCUUGAAAUCCCCAAGUGUUGGGGUGUUUUGAUGAUCUAUGGGACCGGCAAGGUCCCUUGGUUACGCUUCCGCGGGGACUAUGGGCACACAAAGAGCAUCGCUGACAACGACGUGCAUGGGUGUUUAGAUAGGUUCGGGAUGCUCGGGAACGUAAAACCCUGUGUCGUGUGUUUUGGUGGAUUAUGUGGAUGAUCGCAAUACAUACGCACUCGCCCAACAAGGAUGAUCGAGGACAGAAGUUACGUGUACAGAAUGUAUAGAGUGUCGACCCUUCUAAAGGUAGCCAUGGAGCUCCUUUUAUAGUCUAAGGAGUUACUACACUGGCUACAUCUAUCUUUUCUUGGGAGAAUAGUCCACAGGCUAUCAACAAAACUGCUGAAAGAAGCAACAGUGGAACUACCUAACUCUGACAAACAGAGACAGACGCAUAAAAUGUGACAUGUGGUGGUGUGCACGCGACGUUCCCUCGCAAUAAUUGCAUGUCCUUCUUUGACAUUCCCCCAGCUAUCUUCUCUUUGCUUGACACGCCACGGGACGGGUGUCAUUAAAGUGACUACAUGCCUCUAACUAGAACCACCUAACCGGCGUCUCGCUCGACACCUCACUGACUCUAACAAUCAACCUGGUGAGGUGGAGCGGCGGAGAUCUGGACGGUUCGUGCCGGACGCGUUUGAUGUCUGAAUUUCCUCCUCCCAGCAAGAUGGCUUGCUAGGGCCUUGUUUCUGGUCUUCGCUCAUUGUUGUACAAAGGUUGGCGUUGGCCGGCAGGGUCUUGCUGGCCCGGGGGACGCGACUACCUGUGUACAAUUCUGGGUACUAAAGCCCCCUUAUUUUAGUACAACGACAGUAGCCCCCGGGCCUAGGGCACACUUUGCGUCCGCGAAGUUUCUUGGGUUAGGCCCGAAACAUAGUACAUAGUCGCACAUGGCCGAAAUUCCCUACGGUUAUCAUGACUUACUGCUUUCAUACAACGCGCAUUUACUGCUGAUUGUGGGGGUGGUGGAGCGAGGCGGUUGUUUCAAGGAAUCUCGAAAAGCCGCGCGCUAUUGGUAGAGAAUGGCGGUCACCCUAGCCCACACUCUUGACAACGAAUGGUCGCUUUGGAAAGCAAACAAACAGCCCCAGGUCCCUUAGAGGGGAGGGAAAAAACUGCGGGCUGGACCUCAUUCACUCCUCGCCACUAAGUUUUGUCUUCUCCUCUUUUGUAUUUCGUCAUACCUGUGACGACGAGUGUUGCUUGCAUGGUGUUGUAUUGGGUGGGAAGGGCAGUUGCUGGUGCUAAGUGUAUGCCAGUAUGCCCCCGCCUUGGGUUAUGAGGAGCUAGCCCCCUUCCCCUCCCUCGCUCUAUAAAUAGGAGGGUUGAUGGGGGAGCGUUUCUCACCUGCGUUCCCCUUUGCCAAUACAUUGACCAUCAUCCUCUCAUUUUCCAUGCUAUUAUCUUCAUCGUGCCGUCCUUGGGAUUACGAGGGGUCGUGGUCACGCUCACACAUCCCAUUCCCUAGAGAGGGGCGCCCCCAAAGCCACAUGCGAAUUGUGGUGACAGUGGCUGGGAUUUUCUCCAUUUCCUACCGCAGGGCGACAUCCAGGGGUUGAGGAAGGGUGGCUCCGGCGAACUGCGGCGAUCGAGGCGGUGCGCCUCUCUUACAACCUCACGUAGGGAUCCAUGCACUGGAGGAAGUGCAUGAGUUCGUUGUGUCAUUUCCUCGUCGGCAUUAGCAUUAGCUGCGCCUCCCUAAACCCUUCGUGUGAGCUAUGUAAGACACUCAAACCCCAAGGACUAUGGAUGUGAGUGGAUGGCUGCUGCAACGGGCCCAUCUGGGUGGUCGUUGCCUCACCUGUGGGUGCGAUAUAUUCCUGACACGGGUGUGGAAGUCAUUUGCCCGUUCCCGGGUCUUGGUCCCGGACAUCUCCUACAGUGUAGUUUCGAUGGCGCCGCCACUCCCACCAUGAAGUUCUUUGGCGCAUCCGGUGUGCACCUGGAGUGCUGUGCGGACAGUUCUAACGGAAGCAACUUCGACUCCUCUAACGAUAGCUAUGAUGGCGCUAGUGUCUUUGGCAUCAAGCUGGAGGACUCCGAUUAGCUGCGCUUGGUGUUCAAGCAUGGACCCGGAUAUGGGGGGACUGGCGCGGGAGCAAGGCUCCAUCUGUCGGAUUUUGUUUCCGGCUCAAUCUCCACAUCGUAGUGGUAGAUGUCCUUUUGUGUUUAGGCUCUGCAAAAUGUAACCAUGUGAGGAUCACAAAAACAAGUAAGUGGGAGCUAUCCUCUUAAGAGUUCUAAACUUCUGUCGCAUCUUGAUGAAAGUAUGCUCUUCCUUUAUCCUUCUCCUUUCUCGUCGCAAACCCACACUUGUGCACUUAUAUUCAUUGUGUUUUCCAGGAAUGCUUGCCGACGUGUUGUCCUUUCCGCGAUUGACUAGAGUGUUUAGCCAAGACACCCCAACACACAACAAUUUUGACAAGGUCCCUACAUGUUGCUUGCUCGUUCUUGUAUUUAUCGUGGACGAGAUUGAGUACUUAGUAUCCCAACAGUGAUUCCGUCGCCAGCAAGGGCUCUUGUCAUCUUUUCCACGACUACUUAAUGUGUUGAGUAAGCUCGAAAACACUCAAUUGCGCAGGAAUUUUUUUGAAGGC